This 77-nucleotide transfer RNA is filed under the name Shewanella sedimentimangrovi. RNAcentral's name for it is "Shewanella sp. FJAT-52962 tRNA-Pro". It matches the Rfam family "tRNA". Rfam says of the family: Transfer RNA (tRNA) molecules are approximately 80 nucleotides in length. The record is from RNAcentral. Lineage: Bacteria; Pseudomonadati; Pseudomonadota; Gammaproteobacteria; Alteromonadales; Shewanellaceae.
CGGAGCGUAGCUCAGUCAGGUAGAGCACUGCCUUCGGGAGGCAGGGGCCGCAAGUUCGAAUCUUGUCGCUCCGACCA